RNAcentral lists this ribosomal RNA (254 nucleotides) under uncultured bacterium. RNAcentral describes it as "partial 16S ribosomal RNA". It matches the Rfam family "Bacterial small subunit ribosomal RNA", at positions 524 to 776 of the family's 1533-position model. The record is from RNAcentral.
UACGUAGGGCGCAAGCGUUAUCCGGAAUUAUUGGGCGUAAAGAGCUCGUAGGCGGUUUGUCGCGUCUGCCGUGAAAGUCCGGGGCUCAACUCCGGAUCUGCGGUGGGUACGGGCAGACUAGAGUGCGGUAGGGGAGAUUGGAAUUCCUGGUGUAGCGGUGGAAUGCGCAGAUAUCAGGAGGAACACCGGAUGGCGAAGGCAGAUCUCUGGGCCGUAACUGACGCUGAGGAGCGAAAGCAUGGGGAGCGAACAGG